Molecule: ribosomal RNA, 596 nt
Filed under: uncultured bacterium
Lineage: Bacteria
Description: bacterial SSU rRNA
Rfam family: Bacterial small subunit ribosomal RNA
Source: RNAcentral
GUGGCGGACGGGGGAGUAACACGUGGGUAACCUGCCCUUAAGUGGGGGAUAACAUUUGGAAACAGAUGCUAAUACCGCAUAGAUCCAAGAACCGCAUGGUUCUUGGCUGAAAGAUGGCGUAAGCUAUCGCUUUUGGAUGGACCCGCGGCGUAUUAGCUAGUUGGUGAGGUAAUGGCUCACCAAGGCGAUGAUACGUAGCCGAACUGAGAGGUUGAUCGGCCACAUUGGGACUGAGACACGGCCCAAACUCCUACGGGAGGCAGCAGUAGGGAAUCUUCCACAAUGGACGCAAGUCUGAUGGAGCAACGCCGCGUGAGUGAAGAAGGCUUUCGGGUCGUAAAACUCUGUUGUUGGAGAAGAAUGGUCGGCAGAGUAACUGUUGUCGGCGUGACGGUAUCCAACCAGAAAGCCACGGCUAACUACGUGCCAGCAGCCGCGGUAAUACGUAGGUGGCAAGCGUUAUCCGGAUUUAUUGGGCGUAAAGCGAGCGCAGGCGGUUUUUUAAGUCUGAUGUGAAAGCCCUCGGCUUAACCGAGGAAGCGCAUCGGAAACUGGGAAACUUGAGUGCAGAAGAGGACAGUGGAACUCCAUGUGUA